RNAcentral lists this transfer RNA (540 nucleotides) under uncultured cyanobacterium. Its description in RNAcentral is "partial 16S-23S ribosomal RNA intergenic spacer". The stretch from base 212 to 284 matches the Rfam family "tRNA". Lineage: Bacteria; Bacillati; Cyanobacteriota. The record is from RNAcentral.
CAGGGAGACAACAAAAUGUUUAAUAUUAUUAUUUUGUCACCUUAGGUCGAUCGGUAUCUCACGUUCUUAUUUUAUUAAGAAUUUCAUUUCCUAAGUUUUUCUAGGUCACACCCAUUAUUUUUCCUGGGCCAUUAGCUCAGGUGGUUAGAGCGCACCCCUGAUAAGGGUGAGGUCCCUGGUUCAAGUCCAGGAUGGCCCAUAUCUCUACGUUGGGGGUAUAGCUCAGUUGGUAGAGCGCCUGCUUUGCAAGCAGGAUGUCAGCGGUUCGAGUCCGCUUACCUCCACUGAUUACCACCUCUUCCAUAAUCAGUAGAAAGGAAAUGUUUUGAGUUGUGAUCAAUUUCUGAACGAAUCUAGCUUCCUAAUAAAACCAUUAAGAUGCUGGACUCAUUGAAUUAACUUCAUUGUUUUCAGAGAACCUUGACAACUGCAUAGAUUAUUUUUAAAGACAAUAAGCAUCUUUAAUGAUGCAGAUUUAUUAUUUGUGCGAAUGCAUUAAUAACAAUUCUAUUAAGCUGAUGCUUCAAUAUUGAAGUUAUU